Long non-coding RNA from Amblyraja radiata (thorny skate), 757 nucleotides. RefSeq lists it as uncharacterized. The record is from RefSeq and is a predicted model, not a curated record. The transcript has 2 exons. Lineage: Eukaryota; Metazoa; Chordata; Chondrichthyes; Rajiformes; Rajidae.
AGGCAAACCUGUUUGAGUGACACAUACCCUAAGUAUACUAAUUAGCAAUCCUGGGUUCCUGGACAAACGCCUCCUUUUCAUGGAAAUUUCUAGCCUUCCAUUGGGUUGUGUAUAGAUGUGCUGCUUUAAAUGGCGAGCGAACACCGAUGACUGGUUCUAGUGUAACUUCACACAAUGGUGGAAAGUUGUAAACUAAGCACCGAGAGUUUUCUACCACAUUGACAUUGUUCUGGAUAAUCCCUUUCAAUGACAAUUGACCAAAUGCAAUUGCUACAAGCCACAAGUUCAACAUGAUUACUUUGAACACAAUGCUACUGAUGCAGGUUCCGUAAGCACAGUUUUGAGACGGUUGUGACAAGAUAAAUCAGAGGAAUAUUAUCGAUCUGGCACCACCACCACGAGUGCUUCACGAAAGGAUGUCGCUGAGGCAGUGGCUGUUGUCAGCUUUUCUCAGUGCCCUCAAUUCCAUUGCUUCUCUUUUCUGCUUCCAACAUAGCCGUUCUGGUGGUGUCUUGGGUGGUGGUGCUCGAAAUCCAGGCACUUGGGUUCAGCGGUUGUAUGAACGGGCUCUUUGGCUAUUUCGAAAUAUCACAUGAACUUCCUGCUUCGCUUGAAGUCACAAUGGCAAUGAGUCGCGACGUGCUGUCAACGUUUCAGUUCUUCCAAGCGUAGAGAUCUCCGCUGACCGAUUUGCUGUCAUUCCAGCUGCACUCUGCCAUCUACGCAGUACCAUUUAUUACAAAGAAGUUAAUGAAAA